GGAAAUUGAACGUCAAAGAGAGAGGGGGAUAAAUGAAUGUGCUAGGUUACAAGAGACUCUCUCAGCAAAGUACAAGAGAAGAAAGCAAAGUUACAAUCCAACCAAAGCUAAACUAACAUUUAUGAUGGCAUAACAAGACAAAAGCAGACAGAAAAUGCACUGGGACUUCCUUGAAGCAAAGCUUAUAAAAGGUUACCAAGAUGUUUUAGGAUGGAAUGUCAUCCAGCUUGUGCUAUGCUUCUGGAUGAUACCCACAGACAGUUUGAUAAUUCACUGCCUCGUUUGCUUGAUGGCCUAUCAAGAACAAUCAGCUACUCAACUGACACAUUGAGGGAAG
Pelodiscus sinensis (Chinese soft-shelled turtle) is the source of this 337-nucleotide non-coding RNA. The record is from RefSeq and is a predicted model, not a curated record. NCBI's taxonomy places the organism in Eukaryota, Metazoa, Chordata, Testudines, Trionychidae.